This is a long non-coding RNA of Micropterus dolomieu (smallmouth bass), 1996 nucleotides long. RefSeq lists it as uncharacterized. The transcript has 2 exons. The record is from RefSeq and is a predicted model, not a curated record. NCBI's taxonomy places the organism in Eukaryota, Metazoa, Chordata, Actinopteri, Centrarchiformes, Centrarchidae.
GCUGGAGGUGCUUCUUGCCGUCUGGGUGAACCUCCAACACACAUAAACAAGAGUUGGGGCAUGAGCCUCCCAGCUGAGAUCAAUAUCACAUUUGAUUAACGAGUGAUGCUAUUGGAUCAUUGCCCGGUUUCAUCAGCAGCUGGAGUCAGAUAUCUGGCACAGGCAGACCUCUGGUCAUACUCACACAUCAGCGUGCUAAAAGCCAUCACAGCGAGAAGUCCUUGCAGGAAAAUGCCAAACGAGUCCAUCAAGGCGCCGUUCUCGCACCCCCGGUUGUCAGAACCUGGCGUCGGGCUGGAGGACACCGACGUGUUGGUAAAGGUCACAGCGGGCAGCCCCGCUCCUCCUGGACCUGCCAGUGCCACGUUUCCGAGCUGGGAGACCAUGUUGACACCACUAACAGCAGCCAUGGGACAGAAGAGGCACACGAGACUAAUUAAUAAAGCCGAGGGCUGUAGCUUCUCACACUGCAGCGUGCUUCCCAGUUCCCUCCAGCAGUUGGUCAGCUAUUGUUACGCUGGACAGUCUUCGGUGAAAGAUGGAGGCAUCCUCUCCCUUCCAAGCGGGCUCAUUCUUCUGCUUCAGACACACAUAGUUGUCAUUGUUUUGUUAUUGGAAAAGUAAAGCCGUCGGUCAAAUGGGUUUACAGUAACCCCUUGCAGUAACGUCCUACGCAGCUGUAACUAGUUUGUCAACACGCUUUGAACCGAGCUGCAACAUUAAAAAUCAAUAGCAAGUAUAGAAGGUCCUGCAGCAGAAAAAAAACAACGUUAUCCUAGCGCGACCUGGGAUCUGUGAGCUAACACCGGUAACGCACAGGGGCUACACACGUGUCAUGUCGCUACUCCAACAAACCAAUCCCGCGUUUAUAAGUUACUUUAUGUUUUGUGCAGCGCAGGUCAGCCAGUAAGAGGGGGGAUUGUGCCGGCAAACGCCCAUAGUAAAAAGGGGAUCCAGCGGCUGAGAUGCUAUCACCGUUACCAAGCUAACUAACUCAGUUGCAUUAAGCUAACGCUGGGCUAGCAAACUUAUAUUUUCUCUCAGCCGCUGAAAGCAGCGGGUGCACCGGCUGCUCGUGACUUGAACGCCUGUGAAAACAGCUCGUCGGUAUACGAAAUAAAUGAAUGUGAAUUAUUGCAGGUCACGGCUCGCCUUCUUCCAGCUGCUUUCCUGACCAGCAGUGCCCACUCCUGUUGACAGACGUAACGUCAUGUGACAGGCCUGCGCAGCCACGAACUGCAUGCUGGGAAAUGUAUGACAAACACCAGGGGUAGUCUUCACAUCAGGUUAACAGUUUUAAUUGCAGUCUUUUUAAAUAGCUGUUAUAUUCUUCAACCGUGAAAUAAAACGCUGUUCCAUUAAAUACAGCGGAAACUACAAGCAAAAUGGGGGCAAAAAAAACAAAACAUUACAAUAGAUCACACUACAGGAACAAUUGGUAGGUAAAAAGAAGAAAAACUUAGUUACAAAAGCAUUUUGAAUAUCUUUAAAACAUCACACUUUUCAUUAAGUUAAUUGUUUAAAAUAAGACACUUCAAUUAUAUAAAAUGGUUCAAAUAACAUUACUUAUAGCUGAAAUUGUUUUAAUCAUACACUCCAUAUGAGUUCAGGCCUAUUCUGUGCAAAUGCACUGUAUAUUUAGGGCAUUUACACAUUGCUUAUGUGGAAGAGUUAAUUGCUCUUUUUUUCUCUAAUCACCCUGUUGCACUAGAAGAUACUUGAUUAUAUACACUAUAUACAAACAUGCACUGUCAUAUUUGCAUACCACAAUACAGUACAUGGUUUUCCUUGUGCUUGCAAUACAGAAUCCUUGCACUGUAAACUGUCCUUACAUACAGUAGAAGCCUGAACAAGAAAGCAAGUGUAUCUCUUGAGAUGAAGGCCCGCUUUACAUGUGUUGUUGAUUGUAUCUUAAUCCAGCUGGAUAACAUUUGCAAAUGGUGUUGGUAUAGUACACAUAUCUGGUGUUCACACUAAAAUCUAAUUCCUUACCUUG